Molecule: long non-coding RNA, 447 nt
Filed under: Oryza brachyantha (malo sina)
Lineage: Eukaryota; Viridiplantae; Streptophyta; Magnoliopsida; Poales; Poaceae
Description: long non-coding RNA (OBRA_LNC002973)
Source: RNAcentral
CCUAUUCGAAAACUGGACGAUGCACUUACGUGCUCAUUUAGCUAACACGACACUGCAGGGCACAACAAACUUUGGUUGGUCUCUAGAUAUUUUUUUUUACUUAUUGGAUCAUAUCAUCUUAAUGACCAAAUACAAAUAAUCUCUCGGAUAUUUUUUUUAAAUCUAUUAACUUUUAAAUUUGCAUUUGAACCAAAUCAACUAGCCAAAGUAUCUCUCUCACGUGACCCAGCUCGAUCGUUCCAAACAUCCCGCGUGUCGUCUUAAGGAGAGAGAGCGGACGUGCUGUGGUGUCCACGUGGCGGCGGCGUCGCUGGUUUCGCGGCGGUGAAACGACGACGAGCAUGUCGGUACACUGCCUCAAUUUACUUGUGAGAGAAGUGGGCGCAGAGAAAGGCAGCUUAGUUUCUCCGAUAUCAUCUUAGCUCCUGAUGCUUCCUAAGCCAACGU